RNAcentral lists this ribosomal RNA (254 nucleotides) under uncultured bacterium. Its description in RNAcentral is "partial 16S ribosomal RNA". It matches the Rfam family "Bacterial small subunit ribosomal RNA", at positions 524 to 776 of the family's 1533-position model. The record is from RNAcentral.
UACGUAGGGUGCAAGCGUUUGUCCGGAAUUAUUGGGCGUAAAGGGCUCGUAGGCGGUUUGUCGCGUCGGCUGUGAAAACCUGAGGCUCAACCUCGGGCCUGCAGUCGAUACGGGCAAACUAGAGUUCGGUAGGGGAGACUGGAAUUCCUGGUGUAGCGGUGGAAUGCGCAGAUAUCAGGAGGAACACCGGUGGCGAAGGCGGGUCUCUGGGCCGAAACUGACGCUGAGGAGCGAAAGCGUGGGGAGCGAACAGG